RNAcentral lists this ribosomal RNA (301 nucleotides) under uncultured bacterium. Its description in RNAcentral is "partial 16S ribosomal RNA". It matches the Rfam family "Bacterial small subunit ribosomal RNA", at positions 509 to 809 of the family's 1533-position model. The record is from RNAcentral.
CAGUAGCCGCGGGAAUACGAAGGGUGCAAGCGUUACUCGGAAUUACUGGGCGUAAAGCGUGCGUAGGUGGUGGUUUAAGUCCGUUGUGAAAGCCCUGGGCUCAACCUGGGAAUUGCAGUGGAUACUGGGUCACUAGAGUGUGGUAGAGGAUAGUGGAAUUUCCGGUGUAGCAGUGAAAUGCGUAGAGAUCGGAAGGAACAUCUGUGGCGAAGGCGACUAUCUGGGCCAACACUGACACUGAGGCACGAAAGCGUGGGGAGCAAACAGGAUUAGAGACCCGUGUAGUCCCUGUCUCUUAUAU